AAAAACCCUAGUCGUCUUCCUCGUCUUCUCCGACCAAUCUCACCGGAGUCGAUGGCUUCUCAGGCCAUGGACAGCCUAUGCUCACCCUCGUCCACUCCUAAGCCCGUUUUUUCGAGAUUUUGAGGUUUGACCUUGAUGGUGUUCGAGCAGAUCCUCCAUAGAUCUUAGGUUUUAUGGCCUUUCUGGCUCCAUUCCGACCUAUUCGAGCCUUAAGUGCUUAGCUAGGCUCAGACCUGUUCGAUACCAGACCCUUUCCAAGCCUUCUUAUUUUUAGGGUUUCAAAGAAUCCCUAAAGCUGUUCGAGGUUCCUUCUUAUUUUAUUUUCUUAGAUCUGUGGUAAAUCUGUGAUAUAUAUUUAAAGUAUUAAAGCUUUUCC
Molecule: long non-coding RNA, 376 nt
Filed under: Nicotiana benthamiana
Lineage: Eukaryota; Viridiplantae; Streptophyta; Magnoliopsida; Solanales; Solanaceae
Description: long non-coding RNA (NBEN_LNC036253)
Source: RNAcentral